RNAcentral lists this long non-coding RNA (385 nucleotides) under Lactuca sativa (garden lettuce). RNAcentral's name for it is "long non-coding RNA (LSAT_LNC000438)". The record is from RNAcentral. Lineage: Eukaryota; Viridiplantae; Streptophyta; Magnoliopsida; Asterales; Asteraceae.
CCACACAACCACACCUCAUAAUCAAGCGCAUUCAAUCCCAAAUCAAAGUCAUUCUUGUUUUCCAGCUUCAAAUGUAAAGUAGCAACAGUUUCUUCAAAUGAGAAUUUCUCAAAUUUGAUUUUAUCAAUAUCAACAUCGGGUUUAUAAGGUAUUGGGAUCUCCCCUUUUUUCUCAAGAGGAAUAGUGAUUCUUCCGAAAACAGGGACAUCAACGAUCAGGUCAACUUUGAUUUUGUAAGGUAUGAUGCUUCCUGGUUGAAUUUCUUCAUAUGUGUUCUUGAUGUCUUCGUAGAUUAAACAGAGAGGGAUCUGAACAGUUUCUGAUCCAUGUGCACGGAUUGUGCCAGCAUCGGGGAUUAAUCCAGAGAUUAGUUUUCUUCCAUCAC